RNAcentral lists this ribosomal RNA (490 nucleotides) under uncultured bacterium. RNAcentral's name for it is "partial 16S ribosomal RNA". It matches the Rfam family "Bacterial small subunit ribosomal RNA", at positions 30 to 507 of the family's 1533-position model. The record is from RNAcentral.
AUUGAACGCUGGCGGCAGGCCUAACACAUGCAAGUCGAACGGUAACAGGAAGCAGCUUGCUGCUUCGCUGACGAGUGGCGGACGGGUGAGUAAUGUCUGGGAAGCUGCCUGAUGGAGGGGGAUAACUACUGGAAACGGUAGCUAAUACCGCAUAAUGUCGCAAGACCAAAGAGGGGGACCUUCGGGCCUCUUGCCAUCGGAUGUGCCCAGAUGGGAUUAGCUUGUUGGUGGGGUAACGGCUCACCAAGGCGACGAUCCCUAGCUGGUCUGAGAGGAUGACCAGCCACACUGGAACUGAGACACGGUCCAGACUCCUACGGGAGGCAGCAGUGGGGAAUAUUGCACAAUGGGCGCAAGCCUGAUGCAGCCAUGCCGCGUGUAUGAAGAAGGCCUUCGGGUUGUAAAGUACUCUCAGCGGGGAGGAAGGGAGUAAAGUUAAUACCUUGGCUCAUUGACGUUACCCGCAGAAGAAGCACCGGCUAACUCCGUG